CCUACGGGAGGCAGCAGUCGAGAAUCAUUCACAAUGGGGGAAACCCUGAUGGUGCGACGCCGCGUGGGGGAAUGAAGGUCUUCGGAUUGUAAACCCCUGUCAUGUGGGAGCAAAUUAAAAAGAUAGUACCACAAGAGGAAGAGACGGCUAACUCUGUGCCAGCAGCCGCGGUAAUACAGAGGUCUCAAGCGUUGUUCGGAAUCACUGGGCGUAAAGGGUGCGUAGGCUGUUUCGUAAGUCGUGUGUGAAAGGCGCGGGCUCAACCCGCGGACGGCACAUGAUACUGCGAGACUAGAGUAAUGUAGGGGGAACCGGAAUUCUCGGUGUAGCAGUGAAAUGCGUAGAUAUCGAGAGGAACACUCGUGGCGAAGGCGGGUUCCUGGACAUUAACUGACGCUGAGGCACGAAGGCCAGGGGAGCGAAAGGGAUUAGAUACCCCAGUAGUC
This 446-nucleotide ribosomal RNA is filed under the name uncultured bacterium. RNAcentral's name for it is "partial 16S ribosomal RNA". It matches the Rfam family "Bacterial small subunit ribosomal RNA", at positions 338 to 795 of the family's 1533-position model. The record is from RNAcentral.